Molecule: ribosomal RNA, 253 nt
Filed under: uncultured bacterium
Lineage: Bacteria
Description: partial 16S ribosomal RNA
Rfam family: Bacterial small subunit ribosomal RNA
Source: RNAcentral
UACGGGGGGGGCAAGCGUUGUUCGGAAUUACUGGGCGUAAAGGGCUCGUAGGUGGCCAACUAAGUCAGACGUGAAAUCCCUCGGCUUAACCGGGGAACUGCGUCUGAUACUGGAUGGCUAGAGGUUGGGAGAGGGAUGCGGAAUUCCAGGUGUAGCGGUGAAAUGCGUAGAUAUCUGGAGGAACACCGGUGGCGAAGGCGGCAUCCUGGACCAAUUCUGACGCUGAUGAGCGAAAGCCAGGGGAGCAAACAGG